AGGAUUAACGCUGGCGGCGUGCAUGAAACAUGCAAGUCGAGCGCGGCGCGUGGCUUCGGUCACGCGUCUAGCGGCGCACGGGUGAGUAACACGUGAGCAACCUACCUUCGAGUUCGGGAUAGCCCUGGGAAACCAGGAUUAAUACCGGAUGUGGUCACAACGGGACAUCCCGAUGUGAAAAAAGGCGCAAGCCGCUCGAUGACGGGCUCGCGGCCUAUUAGCUUGUUGGUGGGGUAACGGCCUACCAAGGCGACGAUGGGUAGCUGGUCUGAGAGGACGAUCAGCCACACUGGGACUGAGACACGGCCCAGACUCCUACGGGAGGCAGCAGUUAGGAAUUUUCCGCAAUGGGCGAAAGCCUGACGGAGCAACGCCGCGUGUGUGAUGAAGGCCUUCGGGUUGUAAAGCACUGUCGGAGGGGAGAAUGAACGACGGUACCCUCCAAGAAGCCCGGCUAACUACGUGCCAGCAGCCGC
RNAcentral lists this ribosomal RNA (476 nucleotides) under uncultured bacterium. RNAcentral's name for it is "SSU rRNA". It matches the Rfam family "Bacterial small subunit ribosomal RNA", at positions 26 to 518 of the family's 1533-position model. The record is from RNAcentral.